This is a long non-coding RNA of Epinephelus fuscoguttatus (brown-marbled grouper), 266 nucleotides long. RefSeq lists it as uncharacterized. NCBI's taxonomy places the organism in Eukaryota, Metazoa, Chordata, Actinopteri, Perciformes, Serranidae. The transcript has 3 exons. The record is from RefSeq and is a predicted model, not a curated record.
CGCCAUCUUAGUCAGAGCUGAGCCACUGAGCAGAGCACUCGCACAUGGAACGAGCUGACGAACCGGGGAAAAGUCGUGUGAGUGUGCGUGAGCGAGAGCGGAGCCGAGUUUCACCGUGUAAGCCUCUGAGAACUCCGACUGGUUUUCCUUUUGGGUUUUGUUGAUGGAUUAGGACUUCAUUCCAAUUCCGGACCAAGGAGGUUCGGUGGCGAGCCACAAGGACAAGCGAUUCAGACGGAACGGUGCACGGUCUGGCCAGCUGUGGG